UGGGGAAUCUUCCGCAAUGGGCGAAAGCCUGACGGAGCAACGCCGCGUGAGUGAUGACGGCCUUCGGUUGUAAAGCUCUGUGAUCGGGGACGAACGGUCAGCAGACGAAUACUCUGCUGAAGUGACGGUACCCGAAUAGCAAGCCACGGCUAACUACGUGCCAGCAGCCGCGGUAAUACGUAGGUGGCAAGCGUUGUCCGGAAUUAUUGGGCGUAAAGCGCGCGCAGGCGGCUUCUUAAGUCCAUCUUAAAAGUGCGGGGCUUAACCCCGUGAUGGGAUGGAAACUGAGAGGCUGGAGUAUCGGAGAGGAAAGUGGAAUUCCUAGUGUAGCGGUGA
RNAcentral lists this ribosomal RNA (336 nucleotides) under uncultured Dialister sp. RNAcentral's name for it is "bacterial SSU rRNA". It matches the Rfam family "Bacterial small subunit ribosomal RNA", at positions 355 to 684 of the family's 1533-position model. Lineage: Bacteria; Bacillati; Bacillota; Negativicutes; Veillonellales; Veillonellaceae. The record is from RNAcentral.